UACGUAGGAUCCAAGCGUUGUCCGGAUUUACUGGGUGUAAAGGGUGCGCAGGCGGACUUGUAAGUCAGGGGUGAAAUCUCACAGCUCAACUGUGAAACUGCCUUUGAUACUGCAAGUCUUGGAUCCAGAAGAGAGUUGUUGAAUUCCGAGUGUAGCAGUGAAAUGUGUAGAUAUUCGGAAGAACACCAGUGGCGAAGGCAGCAACUUGGUCUGGUAUCGACGCUCAGGCACGAAAGCAUGGGGAUCAAACAGG
RNAcentral lists this ribosomal RNA (253 nucleotides) under uncultured bacterium. RNAcentral describes it as "partial 16S ribosomal RNA". It matches the Rfam family "Bacterial small subunit ribosomal RNA", at positions 524 to 776 of the family's 1533-position model. The record is from RNAcentral.